Molecule: ribosomal RNA, 1134 nt
Filed under: Burkholderia territorii
Lineage: Bacteria; Pseudomonadati; Pseudomonadota; Betaproteobacteria; Burkholderiales; Burkholderiaceae
Description: bacterial SSU rRNA
Rfam family: Bacterial small subunit ribosomal RNA
Source: RNAcentral
AGACUGUUGCGGCAAGACUUAACAUGCAGUCGAACGGCAGCACGGGUGCUUGCACCUGGUGGCGAGUGGCGAACGGGUGAGUAAUACAUCGGAACAUGUCCUGUAGUGGGGGAUAGCCCGGCGAAAGCCGGAUUAAUACCGCAUACGAUCCACGGAUGAAAGCGGGGGACCUUCGGGCCUCGCGCUAUAGGGUUGGCCGAUGGCUGAUUAGCUAGUUGGUGGGGUAAAGGCCUACCAAGGCGACGAUCAGUAGCUGGUCUGAGAGGACGACCAGCCACACUGGGACUGAGACACGGCCCAGACUCCUACGGGAGGCAGCAGUGGGGAAUUUUGGACAAUGGGCGAAAGCCUGAUCCAGCAAUGCCGCGUGUGUGAAGAAGGCCUUCGGGUUGUAAAGCACUUUUGUCCGGAAAGAAAUCCUUGGCUCUAAUACAGUCGGGGGAUGACGGUACCGGAAGAAUAAGCACCGGCUAACUACGUGCCAGCAGCCGCGGUAAUACGUAGGGUGCAAGCGUUAAUCGGAAUUACUGGGCGUAAAGCGUGCGCAGGCGGUUUGCUAAGACCGAUGUGAAAUCCCCGGGCUCAACCUGGGAACUGCAUUGGUGACUGGCAGGCUAGAGUAUGGCAGAGGGGGGUAGAAUUCCACGUGUAGCAGUGAAAUGCGUAGAGAUGUGGAGGAAUACCGAUGGCGAAGGCAGCCCCCUGGGCCAAUACUGACGCUCAUGCACGAAAGCGUGGGGAGCAAACAGGAUUAGAUACCCUGGUAGUCCACGCCCUAAACGAUGUCAACUAGUUGUUGGGGAUCAUUUCCUUAGUAACGUAGCUAACGCGUGAAGUUGACCGCCUGGGGAGUACGGUCGCAGAUUAAAACUCAAAGGAAUUGACGGGGGACCCGCACAAGCGGUGGAUGAUGUGGAUUAAUUCGAUGCAACGCGAAAAACCCUUACCUACCCUUGACAUGGUCGGAUUCUUGCUGAAAGGCGGGAGUGCUCGAAAGAAGACCCGGCGCACAGGUGCUGCAUGUCUGUCGUCAGCUCGUGGUCUGGAGAUUUGGGUAAGUUCCCGCUACAGCGCCAACCCUUGUCCUUAGUUGCUCGCAAGAACCACUCCUAGGGAAAUUGGCCCGGGUGAUUU